Molecule: ribosomal RNA, 363 nt
Filed under: uncultured bacterium
Lineage: Bacteria
Description: bacterial SSU rRNA
Rfam family: Bacterial small subunit ribosomal RNA
Source: RNAcentral
UAUUGGACAAUGGGCGAAAGCCUGAUCCAGCAAUGCCGCGUGAGUGAUGAAGGCCUUAGGGUUGUAAAGCUCUUUUACCAGGGAUGGUAAUGACAGUACCUGGAGAAUAAGCUCCGGCUAACUCCGUGCCAGCAGCCGCGGUAAUACGGAGGGAGCUAGCGUUGUUCGGAAUUACUGGGCGUAAAGAGUACGUAGGCGGUGAUUCAAGUCAGAGGUGAAAGCCUGGAGCUCAACUCCAGAACUGCCUUUGAAACUAGAUCGCUAGAAUCAUGAGAGGUUAGUGAAUUCCGAGUGAGAGGUAAAUUCGAGUUUCGAAGACACCAGUGGCAAGGCACAACUGGCCUGUUAGCGCUGGUCAGAAAG